AGUGAACGCUGGCGGUAGGCCUAACACAUGCAAGUCGAACGGCAGCACAGUAAGAGCUUGCUCUUGCGGGUGGCGAGUGGCGGACGGGUGAGGAAUACAUCGGCAUCUACUUUUUCGUGGGGGAUAACGUAGGGAAACUUACGCUAAUACCGCAUACGACCUACGGGUGAAAGCAGGGGAUCUUCGGACCUUGCGCGAUUGAAUGAGCCGAUGUCGGAUUAGCUAGUUGGCGGGGUAAAGGCCCACCAAGGCGACGAUCCGUAGCUGGUCUGAGAGGAUGAUCAGCCACACUGGAACUGAGACACGGUCCAGACUCCUACGGGAGGCAGCAGUGGGGAAUAUUGGACAAUGGGCGCAAGCCUGAUCCAGCCAUACCGCGUGGGUGAAGAAGGCCUUCGGGUUGUAAAGCCCUUUUGUUGGGAAAGAAAAGCAGCAGGUUAAUACCCCGCUGUUCUGACGGUACCCAAAGAAUAAGCACCGGCUAACUUCGUG
RNAcentral lists this ribosomal RNA (492 nucleotides) under uncultured bacterium. RNAcentral describes it as "partial 16S ribosomal RNA". It matches the Rfam family "Bacterial small subunit ribosomal RNA", at positions 29 to 507 of the family's 1533-position model. The record is from RNAcentral.